Molecule: long non-coding RNA, 7897 nt
Filed under: Olea europaea (common olive)
Lineage: Eukaryota; Viridiplantae; Streptophyta; Magnoliopsida; Lamiales; Oleaceae
Description: long non-coding RNA (OEUR_LNC001969)
Source: RNAcentral
GAAGAACGAAGUAAAGAGAACUUGGAGAAGGAGAAAAAUUCUAUAUUUCAUACAUCAAAAGUGGUGGCUUGGCUGCACAAGUACCGUCUUUUUCUCCUAUUCAAAGUAUAAUCAUUUUAUUUUUUACAUAAAACUAGGACAAAGUCUAAAAGUGGAAUUUACAAUACAACAGUCAAAUCAGCAUAGUAUCUGCAGGCCACUUCUCCUGUAGCUUGAACUUGACAGACUAAGAGUUGGAGUUUUAGAGAAAAGCUUCAACUCUUUCAUUCUCCUCAAUCUUUUAUACAACACUGCAACCUGAUACUUCAAUUCCUCAAAACCACCUUUUGGAAGAGGCUUUAUCAGCAAAUCAGCCAAUUGAACUUCUGAAGGACAAUAUAGCAAAUGAACUUGUCUUCUUUCUCAGCUUGUCUAAUGGCAUGAAACUUCACUUUAUUAUGUUUGUUCUCCCAUAGUUAACUAAUUUUUUAGCUACACCAAUUACAGAUUGAUUGCCAACCAUAAUUUUUGUAGGACUGACUUGAACCUGAUCAGAUCAUUUGAGAUUUUCUGAAGCCCAAAUGGCUUGAUUUAUGAUGCGGACAUCAUCCCCAUUUUAUCUUUUAUUUAUUUUGGACUUAUAUCUUUUAGUUACUUAUUUUGGGCUUAUGUCUCAUUGGGCUUGUAUAUGGGUUUGGCCCAAGCCCAAGUUAUUAUUUUGUUAUUUAUGUUAUUGUAAUUGGGAUUGAAAGGUAGAUGAUGAAUUGUUGCCUUCCACUCCUCUGUCUUCUCUCUUCCCCUUCUUUCUUCUCUCACGUUUUUUUCCCUUCUCUUUCUCCUUUCUUCCUCUUGUUCUUGCUUUGAUUUUGAUAUUCACUUAUUUUCAUUGAUUCUACACCAUGUUUUGGUAUCAGAGCCUAACCUGGCUUUUCAAUCUCUUACACUGAAAAUCGGAGUCAAAAUUGCCAUGGAAGUGAUACAUACCCGCACUGUUCAACACCAUAAAUCCCUAACCGGAAGUUGAGCCAUCCGUCUCCUCCAACCCAUACACAGACAUCUGACCAAACGCAUCGUAAUACCACCCGACUGCAUUGUGCAACUGCCAAUGCCCACUCCCAUACAAUCCUCCUUGACGGUUAGUUUCAUGAGCCUUCAACCCACUCUCUAAUUUUAAAUCCACAAACCCACCACACCAAAACCGCCUGCACAAGACAUACCCCCUACGUCUUCAAUCAAAUUCACAAACCGACUCCACUUACCCCACGACUUCUUCCAGCAACUCACUACCUGAAACUUCACAACCGCACGCAAUCAAUCCACCACAUCCACCAAUCAACUGCAACUCCUAUAAUCCACUACCCACCAUCCAUACAGACGCUAACCUCCUGCGCACCAGAUUACAAUUAUAGUAGAAAUUCAGUCACAACCCCGUUCAAGCUACAAAAUUAAACAAACCACAUACCUUCGACCACUGAAAACUCACGCCGUAGCCACGCCGUCGCUGGACGAUACCCACCCCACCACUGCAAGUUCCGACACAUCCUUCGACUACAAGUAACUCCCGACGCCCUUAAACGCCCACUUCGCAAUCGUUGCCUCCAAUUGUAACCACCGCAGCAACACCAAUCGCUGGUCACCUUCACAAUGACGCAGCCUAUAAUCACUGCAGCCGCCACCUAUCGCUGUGCAUCCCUACAGCGACGUCGUCCGUAGUCACCAUCAUCAAUUCGAGCCUCCACUCAGCCCCAAAUCUUCUGCUGAUUGCCAAAGGCAGAAUUGUCGAGAGGUUUAGACAAUGGAAUUGGGUAUUUAAUUGGGCUUUGCUUAACAUGUCAAGAUAAAGACUGUGGAAGUGGUAUUUAAUUCAAUUGGGCUAUGCUUAUUUUCAUUUGGGCCUCAAUUUGUGUAUUUUGAAGAGUAGGCCUCAAUUGAUAUGUACACAGUAGAUUAAUUAGUAGUUUUGGGUAUCUUAUUAAUGUUUGGGCCUUGAAUUGUAACAGUUUUGCUUAUCUGAUUUUUAAGUGAAAAAAAAGAGAGUUAUUUUUUUUCUAACAUCGUUUUUCAGGUGCCUCUUUCAUUCCAGUUGAUUGGACGCAGCUUCUUCGAACGAACGAAAAGAAAGUCAUUGUUUAAAUUUAUCCUCAGUUAUAUUGUUGUUUAUCUUGAAUUGCAUCGAUUAACUUUUGUGCUGUAGUCUUUACAUAAAACUCACAUGACAAGACCUUAUAUUUGUUAACUCUUCGACUUGUUAUAUUUUCGCAUUUCCUCCCAUUUAUUUUACGUGAUUAUGUCGUUGACUAUUAUUUGACCCCUGCUUUAUUAUUUUGCAUAGACCAGCAGUAUCAGCUUGACACAUUUGAAUUUUCAUAAUUUCAAAAAAUAAUAAUAAUAAAUAAAUAAAAUAAAAUAAUUUAAAUGCUGAAGUUGUUAUCUUCAUUUCUUGAACUAGUUGUUUAUUGAUCUCGUCAAUCAUAGCAUUAGGUUAGUGUUACGUUGCAUGCAUUUGCGUAGUGGUUGUUUUGUCAUACCAAAUUCCAAUAAUGUGACCACGGACCCGUCUCAAUUUGAUGCCCUUACUCGACAAUUAGCUCAACUACAGGCUCAAUUAACAACCGUCCAAACCGAGGUGACUACUACUCGUGAGGAGAGUAGAGAACUAGCUGCUAGGGUGAACAAUCUAGAGCAAACCUCUCCAUCAACCGACAUUGAUAACUCUGAAGCGUCUCAUAACAUACCCUAUCGUUGUCGACAUGGUGGUCGACAGCGUGUUCGUCGUGAACGAAGGAAUGGGGAACAGGAGCGCAAUCAUGAACAAGACCAUGACCCUUAUGGAACUCAUUCACCUCCUCGCUAUGAGGAGCGUUACUUUCCAAACAUCAAAUUAGACGCUCCUACUUUCGAUGGCUGUUUAGAUCCUAGAGUUUUUACACAGUAGGUUAGAGACAUGGAUCUCUUCUUUUCGUGGUAUGGGGUACCAGAGGAUCGAAGAGUUCAAUUUUCCAGUUUGAAAUUAACUGGUACUGCCAAACUCUUUUGGGAAAAUGUUAAGGACCUUCUUGAAAGGCGUCAUGCACCUUCUGUUGGAGGUUGGGGGGAAAUGAAGCACCGCCUUCAAGAGAAGUAUUUGCCCCACUCUUAUAGGAGCAACUUGUUGGACCAAUGGAAUACCCUCAUACAAGGAAACCGUCCAGUGACUGACUAUGUCACUCAAUUUGAUGAGUUCCGGAUGCGAUACCACAUCGUUGAUGAUGAAGCUAUGACUUUAAGUGGGUUCAGACAAGGCCUACGAGAUGAUCUUCGACGUGAGCUUGUCCUUCGAGGUGUCACCACUCUCGAUCACGCUUACUCCUUAGUUCGAGAUUAUGAGUCGAUUACUAAGACUCCGUAUGGAAGGCGUAGUGAUAAUCGUCCAUCCAUCUCAUCGACACCACCUCCUCCCACCAAAUCUCUUCUUGGACCCCCAUCGUCUAACGCACUUCCUGCUUUAGACAAUAAAGGUAAAGCUCCGGAAACUUUAAGAACCUCUUCUCGUUUGCAAUGCUUCAAUUGUAAGGGCUUCGGUCACAUCUCCUCUAGAUGUCCGAGCCGAGCCUUAGUUAUUGACGAGCGAAAGGAUGUCGUUGAUGAGCCUUUAGAAGAUCAAGUCUAUGAGCCUCACUUUGAAGAGUUUGACGAUUUAGGUGAUAAUGAGGAUACCUUCUUAGGUUGCCUUCAUACCCUUCCUGUAGGUCUAGGUCCUACUUAUCUGGCCCCCGACACAUCUCAGUUGAGUGUGGUACGAUGUACCCUUACCCAACCUAAGGAUGUCGAUGAUUGGCGCCGUCAUGCUAUUUUUCAUACUUACAUCAAGAUCAACAAUAAGGGUUGUAAGAUUAUUGUUGACAGUGGGAGCUGUAUUAACGCGGUCUCUGUGACCACAAUAUCCCGCCUUGGAUUGAAGUCAGUCCCGCGCCCCCAACCAUAUAGCGUCUCUUGGAUUGACACUUCUAUAGCUGUGAAAGAGCGUUGUUUGGUGCCUAUCCAAUUCCUUGAGUAUAAAGAUCAUAUAUGGUGUGACGUCAUCCCUAUAGAUGUUGGACAUGUCAUUUUUGGUCGACCUUGGUUGUUCGAUCUAGAUGUAACUAUCCAUGGGCGAUCAAAUUCAUGUUCUUUUAUAUUUAAUGGAAAGAAGAUUCACCUUAAUCCUUUACCACCAAAAUCUGUUGACUUACACCAAGCCAAAAAAAUUGUCGAGAGGAAAGGAUUACAUGUGAUUAGCCCGACAGAAUUUGAACGGACAAUCGUAAAUGACUCAAUCGUAUUUGCUGUGAUUGUUAUGGAAGUCUCGUUCGAUCCCCCAAUAGCGACUCCUACUGAAGCUCAAUCACUCCUUCAAGAAUUUAAGGAUGUAUUUCCUGACGACCUCCCUGAUGUACUGCCUCCCUUACGGGAUAUUCAACAUGCUAUAGAUCUGGUUCCAGGUUCAUCUCUCCCAAACUUGCCUCACUAUAGAAUGAAUUCUGCUGAACAUGCCGAGCUCCAGAGACAAGUGGGUGAACUCUUUUACAAAGGCUUCAUUCGUGAAAGUUUAAGCCCUUGUGCAGUACCCGCCCUUCUAACACCUAAGAAGGAUGGUUCUUAGAGGAUGUGCGUUGAUAGUCACGCUAUCAAUAAAAUCACUGUCAAGUAUCGUUUUCUCAUCCCUCGACUUGAUGAUAUGCUAGAUAUGAUGACCGGUGCCACAAUCUUUUCCAAAAUCGAUUUGAAGAGUGGGUAUCAUCAGAUUCGGAUCCGCACAGGAAACGAGUGGAAAACUGCAUUUAAAACGAAAGAUGGCCUAUACGAGUGGUUGGUAAUGCCUUUUGGACUAACCAAUGCUCCAAGUACUUUUAUGAGGGUGAGACACAGGCCCUUCGGCCUUUCAUGGGCAAAUUCAUUGUCGUAUACUUUGAUGACAUCCUCGUGUACAACAAAACAAGGGAACAACAUCGAGAUCAUCUCACGCAAGUUUGCUCUACAUUGCCUGCAACAAGCUUGUAUGCUAAUGUGAAGAAAUGUUCUUUCUUCACGGAUACAAUUGUGUUUCUCGGAUUUGUUGUUUCCGCUAAGAGAGUAUCUGCUGAUCCUGCAAAGAUUCGAGCAAUUGUUGAGUGGCCAGAUCCCAAGAAUAUACAUGAUGUUAGGAGUUUUCAUGGUUUAGCUACCUUUUAUCGUCGUUUCAUCAAGGGAUUUAGUACGAUCAUGGCUCCUAUCACAGAGUGUAUGAAGAGAGGAGAAUUUCAUUGGACGCAGGAAACGGCUAAGGCCUUUCAAUUAAUCAAAAGGCGAACGAUAGCGGCUUCUGUCAUGCGACUCCCAGAUUUUUCCAAAGUUUUUGAGGUCGAAUGUGAUGUGUCAGGGGUAGGAAUAGGUGGAGUCUUGGGUUAAGAACUCCAUCCUAUUGCUUAUUUUAGUGAGAAAUUAAAUGAUGUCAAGCAACGAUACUCGACUUAUGAUAAGGAGUUUACGCAGUUGUACAAGCUUUGCGCUAUUGGCGUCAUUACUUAUUACCCAGCGAAUUUGUCCUCUUUUCUGACCAUGAGGCCCUUCGUUUCCUUAAUUCCCAGAGACAAUUGAAUUCUCGGCAUGGCCGCUGGAUCGAAUAUUUGCAAGCCUAUUCUUUUGUCUUAAAGUAUAAGAAGGGUGUUGAAAAUCGAGCUGCUAACGCUUUAAGCCGUCGCAUCUCCUUGUUGUCCGUCAUGAGUGUUAAGGUUCUAGGGUUUGAAAGACUUAAGGAAGAGUACGAGUCAUGUCCCGAUUUUAGGGACAUUUUUCUUGCUUUGCAAAAUGGGGAGUUGGACACCACUGAUGGUUUCCGUUUGGAGGAGGGCUAUCUCUUUAGAUCCAAUAAGUUGUGCAUCCCCAGGACUUCAGUGCGAGACUUUAUAGUGUGGGAAAGUCAUGUUGGUGGGUUGGCCGGACAUUUUGGGCGUGAUAAGACCAUAGAGGAAAUUGAACAUCAAUUCUAUUGGCCUAGUUUAAAUACCGACGUGGCCAAGAUUGUAGGCACAUGUAACACCUAUCAACGAUCUAAGCACAAAAGGCAGAACACAGGCCUCUACACUCCUCUCCCUGUCCCUAGUUGUCCUUGGCUAGACGUUAGUAUGGAUUUCGUGUUAGGGUUGCCACGUACUCCAAAAAAACACGACUCCAUUUUUGUUGUCGUAGAUUGCUUCUCAAAAAUGGCACACUUUAUUCCCUGUAGCAAGACUUCCGAUGCAUCUAAGGUUGCUAAGUUAUACUUCCAUGAGAUCGUCAAACUGUAUGGCCUCCCUAAGACCAUUGUCUCAGAUAGGGAUGUUCGUUUCACUAGCCAUUUUUGGCGAACCCUAUGGAAUAUGAUUGGCACUAAAUUGAAAUUCUCUACUGCAUAUCACCCACAAACGGACGGUCAAACUGAGGUUGUUAACCGCAGUCUCGGUAAUCUAUUAAGAUGUCUAGUCCAGAAAAAUCUUAGGAAUUGGGACUUAAUUCUUCCUUACUGCCCAACUUGCAUAUAACAGUUCAGUAAAUUGGUCUAUAGGUAUGAGUCUUUUGAAGUUGUUCAUGAUUUUAAGUCUAGGAAGCCGUUAGACCUUAUUCCUAUGUCUCCACAUGCUAGAGUGUCUGUGUCAGCUGAGUCUUUUGCACAACAUCUGCGUGACUUGUAUAUUGAGAUCAAUAAACAGCUAGAAGUGAGUAAUGCAUUAUAUAAACUUUGAGCUGAUUUGCACAAACACCAUGUUGAAUUUAAUGUUGGGGAUUAUGUUAUGAUUCGAAUUAGACCGGAAAGGCGUCCAUCUGGGCCUGCUUCCAAAUUGCAAGCUCGUAGUGGUGGUCCUUUUAAAAUUUUAAAGCGUGUUGGUCCAAAUGCUUAUGUUAUUGACUUACCAUCACACUUUGGCUACCACCCUACCUUUAAUGUUGAAGACUUAGUUGCUUACAAAGGUCAAUUUCACCCCGUUGAUGAUCCUUUCACACCUCCAUCUCUGGACCCUCAUCCUGAACAUGUUAUACCUGCCCCAAUUCCACCAACUGCAGCACAUAAAGAUAAAAUUGAUGUUAUUCUAGAUGCACGGACUAUAUUAACUAAGGAUGGAGACAUUCAGCGCUUCCUUGUUCGUUGGGAGGGCUGUCCUGAUUCUGAUUGUACUUGGAUCCCCAAAGAGACACUUCAACAGCUUGAUCCUGACUUGUUGGAGCAUUAUAGGAGUCAAAAAGAUCUUCCUCUACCCGAACCACCAUCCUUGCGUGUCUAUAGACGUCAAAAGAAGUUUGCUCAACCGAUCAGUUUGUGGCUAGGAGAUUGACAGCAGCCUUUUGUAAUCUACCUCCUCGACGGAGUCGAGUUUUUCUCCCACCCUAGGAGAGUUGAUACGGACAUCAUCCCCAUUUUAUCUUUUAUUUAUUUUGGGCUUAUGUCUUUUAGUUACUUAUUUUGGGCUUAUGUCUCAUUAGGCUUGUAUAUGGGUUUGACCAAAGCCCAAGUUAUUAUUUUGUUAUUUAUGUUAUUGUAAUCGGGAUUGAAAGGUAGAUGAUGAAUGAAUGAAUGAAUUGUUGCCUUCCACUCCUCUGUCUUCUCUCUUCCCCUUCUUUCUUCUCUCACUUUUUUUCCCUUCUCUUUCUCCUUUCUUCCUCUUGUUCUUGCUUUGAUUUUGAUAUUCACUUAUUUUCAUUGAUUCUACACCAAUUUAAAGCUGCCAUGUAUUCUGCAUCUGCUGUAGAUUGUGAUACAACUUCUUUCUUCGAGUUUCAACAAAAAAAUUCUUAGCCCAAGUGUAAAUUGAUAGUCAGAAGUGCUCUUCAUAUCAUACCAACAUAUUUUAAUCCAAUGGCUAGAUGGUGCUUUUGAUAUAUCUGGGGGGUUCUUUUAGCAGCUUCAAAAUGAGUUUGAGAAGGAAUUGUCAGAAAAAGAGAUUUU